AACGAACGCUGGCGGCAUGCCUAACACAUGCAAGUCGAACGAGACCUUCGGGUCUAGUGGCGCACGGGUGCGUAACGCGUGGGAACCUGCACUUAGGUUCGGAAUAACUCCCCGAAAGGGGUGCUAAUACCGGGUAUAGUCUUCGAACCAAAGAUUUAUCGCCUUUGGAUGGGCCCGCGUUGGAUUACCUAGUGGGUAGGGUAAAAGCCUAUCAAGGCGACGCUCCAUAGCUGGUCUGAGAGGAAGAUCAGCCACACUGGGACUGAGACACGGCCCAGACUCCUACGGGAAGCAGCAGUGGGGAAUAUUGGACCAUGGGCGAUAGCCUGAGCCAGCAAUGCCGUGGGAGUGAUGAAGGCCUUAGGGUUGUAAAGCUCUUUUACCCGGGAUGAUAAUGACGGUACCGGAAGAAUAAGCACCGGCUAACUCCGUG
RNAcentral lists this ribosomal RNA (433 nucleotides) under uncultured bacterium. Its description in RNAcentral is "partial 16S ribosomal RNA". It matches the Rfam family "Bacterial small subunit ribosomal RNA", at positions 29 to 507 of the family's 1533-position model. The record is from RNAcentral.